AUUGAACGCUGGCGGCAUGCCUUACACAUGCAAGUCGAACGGCAGCGGACCUUCGGGUGCCGGCGAGUGGCGAACGGGUGAGUAAUAUAUCGGAACGUACCUUUCAGUGGGGGAUAACGUAGCGAAAGUUACGCUAAUACCGCAUAUUCUGUGAGCAGGAAAGCAGGGGAUCGCAAGACCUUGCGCUGAUUGAGCGGCCGAUAUCAGAUUAGCUAGUUGGUGAGGUAAAGGCUCACCAAGGCGACGAUCUGUAGCGGGUCUGAGAGGAUGAUCCGCCACACUGGAACUGAGACACGGUCCAGACUCCUACGGGAGGCAGCAGUGGGGGAAUUUUGGACAAUGGGCGCAAGCCUGAUCCAGCCAUGCCGCGUGAGUGAAGAAGGCCUC
Molecule: ribosomal RNA, 387 nt
Filed under: uncultured bacterium
Lineage: Bacteria
Description: bacterial SSU rRNA
Rfam family: Bacterial small subunit ribosomal RNA
Source: RNAcentral